AUGCUGGAAAUCAGCCUACAGCUGCCCCUCCAGGUGACCCCAUCAGGGGAGCAGGACUACGGAACUAGCAACCCAGGUAUUGAAGGAUUGUCACUCUCCAGGGACCUCACUGCUGGAGCAGGCCAGUGCUGGCAUCUUUCCGGGACCUGCUCUAAGCUGCCAAGAGGAAGUGAGAUUCAUGGGUACACAUGCGGGUGGCUGCACCCCUCCAGACCACACAUUGGACCCAGCAGCUCCUGUCUGGUUAGCAGUGCCCAAGGGAUGUUCCUGGUGCUGGAAACCUACUGGAUUUGGGUUGGUCGAAUCCAAGGAUGCUGAACCUGUGGAUCCAGAGGGUCGACUGUGUCUACGAAGACUGUAAGUAACCCCAGGAGCUCUUGGCUGCCAAGAAACCAGCCUGAAAAAGAGGCUGGCCUUUGAGGAGGACAGGAGAACAGAGGAGGGUAACUGAGCCAGGACCCCUGUCAAACCACAUCUGAUCCCUACAGUGACUCAGGUAUGUGAGCCAUACAAAUUAUCUUAUUUAAACACAUUUCAAGUAUCUUUUCUAUCAUUUGCAACCAAAAAGCAUUCUAAAGGAUCCAAUAUGAAAAGCAUUUAACAAGAACUUAACAGACAGUAGUUAGGUUAUCAACUCAAGUGUUUAAAAUUUAUAACGGAAAUGAGGGAAAUGAGUAACAUGUCUGUCACUCCAAGUGAACCUGUUCUGUAGCAGCAUGUAAACCCCUGGGCCCUGUUCUAGAAUUUUGCCAGUAAAUGAUCACCGCAGAACCCCUAACCUCCACUCUACCAACCAGAAUACAUCCCAUUUCCACAUUCGAAGUAAUUCAGGGCAAACUCUUUUAGUGACAGGAAGUAUUGACUCCGAACCCCAUCUCUCCACUGUCCCCUAGAUUAAUUAAGUGGAAGGAAUAGGAAGCCUGCUGCUCCUCCACAGUGUCCUGUGGCACCAGGAUGCCUCACAGAAGCCACACUGGCCCCACACGCCCUCGCUGUGUGCACAGAAGCCGGGGCCUGAUGCUCCCGAGUGUUACUGAACUGAGCUGGGGUCCACGCAUCUGCCGCGGUAGAACCAGAUAGUCACACUGAGCUUUUGCAGUGGUAGAAAGGAAGGUGUUUGUUUACAGGGCACCAUGCAAGGAGGCCCAGCAGCCUCUGCUCAGUCCUGGCCUCCCGGAUGGCUUGCGGGCAAGGGCUCUCCCAGGCAGGGAUGUGCCGCAGGAAAGUGGAUGCUUCAGGCACGGUUGUAAUCAACAUGUGGAGGGAACACAGCGGUCUUUGCUGUUGGUUCAGGGGCGAAGUUUGUUUAAAUUUUACGGUCAGCAAAAAAGAAAUGUUAACUGGCGGGGAGGGAGGCAGUGACUCCCUCCAAGUCCCCCAGGAAGAAACUUAGAAGAAAGAAUGGCCGUCAGGGUUCAGUCCUCAGCUCCCCUCAUCCGAGCUCUGCCUGCAGUCGGUCUGUUUGCUGAGGGUCCUCGGCGGCGGGGGUGGGGGUGCAGGUUUCUGGACUUGAACUUCCUC
This 1521-nucleotide long non-coding RNA is filed under the name Macaca fascicularis (crab-eating macaque). RNAcentral describes it as "lncRNA (ENSMFAG00000054967.1)". Lineage: Eukaryota; Metazoa; Chordata; Mammalia; Primates; Cercopithecidae. The record is from RNAcentral.